UUACCUGGUCUUGACAUCCCGGAGACCCUUAGGAAACUAGGGGGUGCUUCCAUCUGGAAGAAUCUGGAGACAGGUGCUGCAUGGCUGUCGUCAGCUCGUGUCGUGAGAGUGUUCGGGUUAAGUCCCGCAACGAGCCGCAACCCUUGCCUUUAGUUGCCAGCAGUUCGGCUGGGCACUCUAAAGGGACUGCCGGUGUUAAACCGGAGGAAGGUGGGGAGUGACGUCAAGUCCUCAUGGCCUUUAUGACCAGGGCUACACACGUACUACAAUGGCCGAUACAAAGGGCAGCGACACUGCGAGGUGAAGCCAAUCCCGUAAAAUCGGUCUCAGUCCGGAUUGGAGUCUGCAACUCGACUCCAUGAAGUUGGAAUCGCUAGUAAUCGUGGAUCAGCAUGCCACGGUGAAUACGUUCCCGGGCCUU
Molecule: ribosomal RNA, 421 nt
Filed under: uncultured Desulfobulbus sp.
Lineage: Bacteria; Pseudomonadati; Thermodesulfobacteriota; Desulfobulbia; Desulfobulbales; Desulfobulbaceae
Description: bacterial SSU rRNA
Rfam family: Bacterial small subunit ribosomal RNA
Source: RNAcentral